CUCACCCGUGCCGGCCGCCGCUCACCCGCGCCGGCCGCCGCCGCCGCGCACUCGCCCGCGCCGCCUGACACCGCACGCUCUGGCAUGCAUUGCUCUCUCCCUCAGCCCCGAAACCUAGGUCGUCUUCUCCACCUCCGUUUUAGGUCGCCGGAGGCCGCCGAGCUCCUGAUCCGCCCUGUCCCUCACCGGAUCUAUGCCUCCCUUGGAUGGAUCUGCAUCGACGCAGUGUUCUUCCGGUUGGUCGUGGUCCCUGUUUUCAUCGCCUUGGAGCUUGGCCCGUACGUCGGGUUAGGGUUGGCUCGGCCUUCGUGGUCCGUGGGGUUGGGGUGCAGCCGAUGCGGCGAUCGCCGGCGAUUGGGAGGCUGUUACCAGCGGCGGGGGGGGGGGGGGAUCUUUGUGGAGGAUUCUCCACCGAUGGCCGCAGACGCGCUCUGCAUCAUCGCGGGGCCAUGGUUUUCGAACAAUCAAGAGGGAUUUAAGGUGUAAUUUUUGUUGCUGUGUGAUCUUGUACAGAUUGAGGGGAUCGUGAAGCAGCUUGCAACCGCUGGGGAGCAUGAGAAGAUUUCAGCGAUCAUCUCGCUACUCAUCAACUAUUUCACCUACUCGCCACAAGCGAACCAUCGGAAGGUUUGCUUAGACAGCUGUGGUUCAUGCUUCUGGUGUUGACAGGGUCUGAUUUGUUGAGUUCUGUGGUGCUUUGAUGUUAGUAGGGUGGGUUGAUUGGCCUCGCAGCAGUUACCGUCGGAUGGAAAGUUAGGCUUAGACAGCAGUUUAGGCUUUGCUAAGGAUGGGAAGUCAGAAACUAAUGAUGCGAACCUUUUUGAAAAUAGUUGAAUAUAGUUUCAAAAGUUUCAGUGAGUCAAAAUGAAUAUGCAGACUAUGGUACAGUAGACCAAGAAAGUUUAAUCCGUAUCACUAGCCUUUCAAUGAGUUUACCUACAUAUUCCUGUUGAAGCAUGCUUGCUUACAACUUAAAUUAAAACCUGAUUGCUGAUCCCAUUCACAUAUCCCAUAAGAAGUCAUAUAUGCGUUAAUAUUGAACUGUGUGCAUAUCAUUUUAGUAGCUAUUCAUUUUAGUGACUAUGGUAUUUUGAUUUUUGGAGCUCCUGGUCGAGGAGGUCAACGACGACGGCUCAUCCUCCUGCGUCGACACUUUCCUCAGAGGAGAUGGAGAUUAGGAUUGGGAAAUUUGGCAACCUUAAGAACAUAGUAAACUGUAAAUAUAGCCUCAAGCGUGGAAUAGUAUUCCUUGAAGAAUUUCAACCGGAGAUAAUUAGUGCUCACUCGACACUCAUUGGGUGUUCGAUUGCUCCAAAUAUUAAAGAACAUUUUGGUUUGUUCAAGAAUGUACAUAUUGCUGUGGGCUCAGUGCUUGCAGGCACCUUUGCACACUGUUUCAGUUGCAGCCGGAGUGUGCCCGCAGAUGCAGUCUGGCACCAAUAACAAAUGUAUUAUUAUUUCCCUCUUGUGUACAGGCAAAGGUAUGCUCAAUAGUUGAGAAGGAGAUGUUGGCUUCAAUCUUUGACUUCCUCGAACUGGAGAUAUGGUUGUGAAAAGGCUUAAGGAUGCAGCUGCUCCUCGACCAAAUGUUGUCAGAAGCAUGAAGGACCUAUUUCUGAUUAAUAGUGAACCGGCCGAUGAACUUCUUUUGUAAUGUAUGUAAUGUAAUGACUGCGAUGGCACUAUGUACUGAUGAAGCACUAUGUCAUGGAUCCUAUUUGUUCAGGGUAGAAUUCUGGUAGACAUGUUCGGCCAUAUGAACUGAACCACUUAAUCAAUAUGGUGACUUCAUUAUUAGUGCUCA
RNA transcript from Panicum virgatum (switchgrass), 1804 nucleotides. RefSeq lists it as uncharacterized. The transcript is spliced from 4 exons. NCBI's taxonomy places the organism in Eukaryota, Viridiplantae, Streptophyta, Magnoliopsida, Poales, Poaceae. The record is from RefSeq and is a predicted model, not a curated record.